GACGAACGCUGGCGGCGUGCUUAACACAUGCAAGUCGAACGGAAAGGCCCCUUUGGGGGUACUCGAGUGGCGAACGGGUGAGUAACACGUGAGUAACCUGCCCUUGACUUCGGGAUAACUUCAGGAAACUGGGGCUAAUACCGGAUAGGAAUCCUUGCUGCAUGGUGGGGGUUGGAAAGCUUCGGCGGUUUUGGAUGGACUCGCGGCUUAUCAGCUUGUUGGUGGGGUAGUGGCUUACCAAGGCUUUGACGGGUAGCCGGCCUGAGAGGGCGACCGGCCACAUUGGGACUGAGAUACGGCCCAGACUCCUACGGGAGGCAGAGGGGGGGAAUAUUGCACAAUGGGCGGAAGCCUGAUGCAGCAACGCCGCGUGCGGGAUGACGGCCUUCGGGUUGUAAACCGCUUUCAGCAGGGGCGAAGCUUGUGGUGACGGUACCUGCAGAAGAAGCACCGGCUAACUACGUG
RNAcentral lists this ribosomal RNA (465 nucleotides) under uncultured bacterium. RNAcentral describes it as "partial 16S ribosomal RNA". It matches the Rfam family "Bacterial small subunit ribosomal RNA", at positions 28 to 507 of the family's 1533-position model. The record is from RNAcentral.